Medicago truncatula (barrel medic) is the source of this 747-nucleotide long non-coding RNA. RefSeq lists it as uncharacterized. The record is from RefSeq and is a predicted model, not a curated record. The transcript has 3 exons. NCBI's taxonomy places the organism in Eukaryota, Viridiplantae, Streptophyta, Magnoliopsida, Fabales, Fabaceae.
UUGAGAGACCUAAUAGCUUGAUUUCCUCCACUAACCCAAUUAAACUACUUAUUAGCAUCGCUUUCCACAUUGGUUUGGCAUUCAAAUACCAUUAGCAUAUAUAAUUCUCAUACGAUUUCAGUUACAAACCUUCUGCAUGAAGACAUUUAACAAAUAUACCCCAUCAACCUCUUUUGAUUAUCCCAUUCAUCUUCACAUUCUCUACCCGUGACCGGCAAUAAAAUUAGUUUCCAGGUCCAUCAAUUAGAUCGUAUCAUUUCUUCCAAGUCAAAUUCGUGAUUAAGAGUAGGCCUCCGUUCGCCAUCGAAUUGUGUUGAUUUUUGAGAGUUGGAUCACGUCACAUGAUUCUUCGUUUUCAACGGUCCAAUCGUCAAAAUAAUUCCUGGAGUGACAGAAAAUGUGUCUGUACCGUAGCUGUGAGUUUGAGGUUUGAGGUAGUUUAGUGUUUGGCUAGGAAGAAAAGCUUACGAGGUACCAAAGAAGAGAUGAUCUAUGCUUUGAAGUUUUUGCUUGAAGUGCGUACGGGGGACGAAAUUGAGUUUUUGAUUGAAUUGUAACUUUAGUAGAAAUUUUUGAAGGAUAUUAGUUUAAGAGUUUUAAUUACAUUAUGUUAAGAAUUUUGUAUAGGUUUGGCUAGAAUAUAUUAUUGAUGAAAUAAAUAAAUAGCAGUGUUUUUUUAGAAAAGGAAAAUGAUUUAGGAGUAAUGUCUUGGACCAAAAUCCGGGGCGUUACAUACUCUCUUCUAUA